GAUGAACGCUGGCGGCGUGCCUAAUACAUGCAAGUCGAGCGAACGGACGAGACGCUUGCUGCUCUGAUGUUAGCGGCGGACGGGUGAGUAACACGUGGAUAACCUACCUAUAAGACUGGGAACACUUCGGGAAACCGGCGCUAAUACCGGAUAAUAUUCUGCACCGCAUGGUUCAAAAGUGAAAUACGGCCGUGCUGGCACUACUCGAUGCAUCCGAGCUUCAUUAGCUAGUUGUUAAGUUAACGGCUUACCAAGGCAACGAGGCAUAGCCGACCUCAGAGGGUGAUAGCCGACACGGGAGCGGGGACAGGCACCUUAGUCCUACGGGAGGCAGCAGUCGGGAACCGUCCGCAAUGGGCGAAAGCCUGACGGAGCAAGGCCGCGUGAGAGAUGAAGAUCUUCGGAUCGUAAAGCUCUGUUAUGAGGGAAGAACAUAUGUGUAAGUAGCUGUGCACAUCUUGACGGUACCUAAUCAGAAAGCCCCGGCUAACUACGUG
This 497-nucleotide ribosomal RNA is filed under the name uncultured bacterium. RNAcentral's name for it is "partial 16S ribosomal RNA". It matches the Rfam family "Bacterial small subunit ribosomal RNA", at positions 28 to 507 of the family's 1533-position model. The record is from RNAcentral.